This is a non-coding RNA of Peromyscus maniculatus bairdii (prairie deer mouse), 562 nucleotides long. The record is from RefSeq and is a predicted model, not a curated record. NCBI's taxonomy places the organism in Eukaryota, Metazoa, Chordata, Mammalia, Rodentia, Cricetidae.
UGGGCUCCUGGGGAAAGAUGGAUAGAGGGUUCCCCUCCUCCCUAUUGGGCAUGCUAUCUUGUCAUUCUAUUUUCUGGCCUGGAAUAAAGCAGGAAGAAGGCCCUAAUAACAUGAAGACCCUUUGAUCUCGCGCUUCCUGACCUCCAGAACACUCACAGUACAUCCCUGUCUGUGAUCAAAAGUUGCGGCAAAUAAGAAAUAUGCUGAGCUGGGAAAUUAUGCAUGAAAGCUCAAGCCAUAAGUCUGCUACCAGGCGACAAGGCUGUUCCUGUGAAAAAUGCCAACAGUAGGACUGUGAUUUCACAUCACAUCUGAGAGGGAUUUGAGGGAGAUGGCUUUUAAGCCAAAGAUAGAGGCAGGCUGGUUCUUCAGACCGACUUCUGAGCAAGCAGAGCUCCACCGCCCCCAAUGUGGUGAACGCAGCCCGGGCCAAAUUCCGCACUGUCGCUAUCAUCGCUCGCAGCCUGGGGACCUUCACCCCUCAGCAUCACAUUUCUCUCAAAGAGUCCACCGCGAAGCAGACUGACAUGAAAUAUAGGUAUCUUGGGAAAUCAGGACACAG